RNAcentral lists this long non-coding RNA (210 nucleotides) under Nicotiana benthamiana. RNAcentral's name for it is "long non-coding RNA (NBEN_LNC013024)". The record is from RNAcentral. Lineage: Eukaryota; Viridiplantae; Streptophyta; Magnoliopsida; Solanales; Solanaceae.
CUGCCUACUUUGCUCGGCUCGGCGCUAAACUUGCACUCCAGGUAUUCUGACUUGGAUCUGCUUAAUUUGAAACCCUUAGACUCGAGAGUCUGUCUCCAUACCUCUAACCUAUCAAUAACACCGACCCUCGUCUCGUCUAUCAAGACUAUGUCAUCAGCAAAUAGCAUACACCAAGGCACAUCCCCUUGAAUAGGUCGGGUUAGAGCAUCC